UGAGGCCCUCCCUACUCCAGUUCUGGUUCUAGAUCCACUGAGCCACCUAGCUACCUCUUCUUCAGUCUCUUGCAAUAGCUUUCUAAGUGGAACCUCUAGUUUGAGACUAUCUGUGUCUAAGCCUUCUCCAAAGCUUCCAAAGUGAUAUUCCUACAUAUAUAUAUGCAUAUAUAUAUAUGUUCCCUAUAUAUAUUCCAAUAUAUAUUCCCAAUUACAUAAGAAAGUUUUUAAUAUUUCAUUUUAUUCACAUUUUGAGUUCUAAAUUCUCUUUCUCCUCCACCAUCCCCAGUGGUAAGUAAUCUAAUAUAGGUUAUAAUACAUGUACUAUCAUACAAGACAUAUUUCCAUUUUCAUCAUGUUGAGAAAGACACAUUACACAUAAAAAGAAGAAACUCGUGAAUGAAAUAAAGUGAAAAAAAGUGAAAAAUAAAGUGAAAAGUUUGCAUUUAUACUUCAUCAAUUCCUUCUGUAGCUGUGGAUUUUUCAUUAUGGGUCCCUUGGAGUUGUCUUGGAUCUUUGCAUUGCUGACAAUAAUUAAGCCAUUCAUAACUGAUCAUUGUAUAAUAUUGUUGUUACUGUGUACAGUGUUCUCCUGAUUCUCUUAACUUCAUUUUGCAUCAGUUAGUUUAUCUAACUCUUUCCUGGAUUUUUUGUGAUCAGUCUGUUCAUCAUUUCUUAUGGCACAAUAAUAUUACAUCACAAUCAUAUGCCAGAAUAUAUUCGGCCAUUUCCCCAUGGAUGGACAGCCCCAUAGUUUCUAAUUCUUUACCACCACAAAAAGAACUGCUAAAAAUAUUUUUGUACAAAUAGGUCCUUUUUCCCUUCCUUUGAUCUCUUUGGGAUACAAAAUGAUAUUCCUAAAGCCUAUCUGGCCAUAUCACACCUCCACGGAAGAAGCUUCCUUGGUUCCAGAUAAUCUUUAGGAUGGAGUAUGAAGUCCUUUAGUACUGAGAGCUUUUCAUUGUCUGAUUCCAGUGUCUCCAGACUUAUUUCAUAUUUCUCCUUUGUCACACUUUUAAUUUGCAGCCUACCUGGAGUACUUGCCCUACCUUGAAAAGGCAUUCCAUCACCCUGGAUGAUUCAGCAUGAGCUACUUCCCAUACCUGGGAAAGGUCUUCUCAUGUCUGCUUUUUCACAAGAUUUAGUUCAAUUCAGAGUUCAAGUUGAAUAUCAUCUCCUCUAAGAGGCCUUUCUGAUUGUUCUUGUUCCUCUGUAGGCAUCAUGACAUCUUUAAAAUGCAGUCAGAAAGAAAGGCUUGCUCUCACAUCCCAGCUCUGCUACUUAAUUGCUUUGCAACCAUGGACAAGUCCCAAUGGAUGGAUGUCUCUGAGCCUUACUGGUUAGUUAAUUUGGAGAGGAAGCCUGAUAUCUCUUAAUUUUCAGUACAACAUUCCACCUUCUAUCAUUGUAUAAUUUGAACUGAAUUUUUACGUAUAUGAUGAGAAUUAUAGAAUGUGAGAAUUGGGACGGUCCUUAGCAGCAAUCUAGCCUAACAAAUACAUGAAAGGAAUCCCGCCUGUAACAUACCAGAGUGGUCAUUCAACCUCAGCUUAAGGAUCUUUCUCCAAAGAAGGGAAACUCAUCACUUCUCUAGGGAUUGAAUUGUACUUUUGAACAGUUCUAAUUAUUAAGAAGCUUUUCUUGACAUCAACUCUAAAUUGGUUUCUUUACAACUUCUCCCCAUGGCUCCUGGUUCUGCCUAUGGGUCCCAAAAGAGCAAGUCCAACCCUCCUUACAUAUGACAGUCCUUCAAAUAUCUAGUCAGCUAUCAUUUUCCCUCGGAAUCUUCUUGAAGCUUAAUAUUCCUUCAACUAAUCCUCAUGUGAAAGGCUGAAUUAUUAACUGAUUUAUUAUGACCUAACAAUGAGGGGGUCCCUCCUGGAGGGAGGAGGCCAUAAGGUUCUCUCUUCAUUCUUGUUUUCUAUCAAUGGAUCCACAGCACUAUGCUUGUCUAGGAUAGGUUUGGUUACAGACAGUCUUAGCCUUGGGGCAUCCCCAGUUUAUGGGUGAAAGAAGUUGUAAAGGGAUCUUUUAGGGUCGGGGUUAUAUCCAGUUCUUUGGAUAUUGGUAGGAAAGAACACAUUGGCAGUAAUCAGGGAGGAAGGCAUCAAUUAUACUUUAAAAAGGUACAAAUGGAGGCACAGUGCGGUUAGGGGAUGGGGUGGUGGGAGACAGGUAGCAUGGAGGAGAGAGAGAGGGGCACAGAGAGUCACUCACAUAACUGAGGAUUGGAGUGGCGUUGUUUGGGCAACAUGGCCCUGUAGCAGGCAGAGGAAUGCUAGGACAAGAGCUUGGGAGUUCUGUUUUUAUAGGGUCUUGGUGUUGAAAAACUAACUAAUUCUGGUGAUGCCACUGUAAGGACAUCUUUAUACUCUUUAAAAAUGGGGUCAUGAAGAGUGAGACAUGUUUGAAAAACAACAACAACAAUUCCAUAAAGGGGAAGAUAUUUGGACUACACUUUUUGAACUGCUGCACUGGGACACCUCUUGAUAUAUUGAUAUUGUACCAUUAACAUCUACUCUUUGAAUCUG
Monodelphis domestica (gray short-tailed opossum) is the source of this 2531-nucleotide long non-coding RNA. RefSeq lists it as uncharacterized. Lineage: Eukaryota; Metazoa; Chordata; Mammalia; Didelphimorphia; Didelphidae. The record is from RefSeq and is a predicted model, not a curated record.